RNAcentral lists this ribosomal RNA (497 nucleotides) under uncultured bacterium. RNAcentral's name for it is "partial 16S ribosomal RNA". It matches the Rfam family "Bacterial small subunit ribosomal RNA", at positions 28 to 507 of the family's 1533-position model. The record is from RNAcentral.
GAUGAACGCUGGCGGCGUGCCUAAUACAUGCAAGUCGAGCGAACGGACGAGAAGCUUGCUUCUCUGAUGUUAGCGGCGGACGGGUGAGUAACACGUGGAUAACCUACCUAUAAGACUGGGAUAACUUCGGGAAACCGGAGCUAAUACCGGAUAAUAUUUUGAACCGCAUUGUUCAAAAGUUAAAGACGGUCUUGCUGUCACUUAUAGAUGGAUCCGCGCUGCAUUAGCUAGUUGGUAAGGUAACGGCUUACCAAGGCAACGAUGCAUAGCCGACCUGAGAGCGUGAUCGGACACACUGGAACUGAGACACGGUCCAGACUCCUACGGGAGGCAGCAGUAGGGACUCUUCCGCAAUGGGCGAAAGCCUGACGGAGCAAAGCCGCGUGAGUGAUGAAGGUCUUCGGAUCGUAAAACUCUGUUAUUAGGGAAGAACAUAUGUGUAAGUAACUGUGCACAUCUUGACGGUACCUAAUCAGAAAGCCACGGCUAACUACGUG